RNAcentral lists this ribosomal RNA (253 nucleotides) under uncultured bacterium. Its description in RNAcentral is "partial 16S ribosomal RNA". It matches the Rfam family "Bacterial small subunit ribosomal RNA", at positions 524 to 776 of the family's 1533-position model. The record is from RNAcentral.
UACGGAGGGAGCUAGCGUUGUUCGGAAUUACUGGGCGUAAAGCGCACGUAGGCGGCUUUGUAAGUUAGAGGUGAAAGCCCGGAGCUCAACUCCGGAACUGCCUUUAAGACUGCAUCGCUUGAAUCCAGGAGAGGUGAGUGGAAUUCCGAGUGUAGAGGUGAAAUUCGUAGAUAUUCGGAAGAACACCAGUGGCGAAGGCGGCUCACUGGACUGGUAUUGACGCUGAGACGCGAAAGCGUGGGGAGCAAACAGG